AGAUGAACAAAUUGAGACACAAUCAACUUAAGGAAUGCCUUAAGAAUGCCACUGAUUCUCUACAGACAGUGCAGCCUAAUAUCUCUCAGACUAGCACUUCCCACGGCCCUGCACUUGGGGCCCCACUGCCUGGUAGAAAUGAAGUGGCCUUGCUAACAAGUUUACCUCCAAACUAUGAGAUUUCAGAAGGAAAACCAAGAGCCAUCUCUGCAUAUGUGAGAGCGGGCAAACGAAAUGUGCCAAGGAGAAGAAAGAAGACACACUUGGGCAAUGAUUAUGGGAAGAAGGAAGCACAGGAGAAAAUCUAAGACAUGUACAGCCCAUAUGGAAGAUCCAAAGAGAACUUGACUAAGCUUCCUACCUUCUCCUGGAGUUUGUGGUUUAUGAAUGUGGCGCCAUCUGGGGAACUGACAACCCCUGAGGUGUUCACUCUGCUCGUCUUCCAGGUGAGAGAAGAAGAAGGGGAGAAGAAAAGAGAAGUUCUAGAAUUUCACAGGCUGAGGGAGAUGGUAGGAACUGUCUAUGUUGGUUUCUGUGUAUUGGUUUGCUUUUUAUUUUGAACUCAUUUGACUUCAGGUUCCAGAUUUGUUUUUCUCUUUGUAAACUAGACUUUGACAUUAUUAGCAGUCCCAUCUGUUUGCUUUUCUUAAAUAAAAUGUAAAUUAGUUUUUGUUUUAAAUUUCA
Molecule: long non-coding RNA, 684 nt
Organism: Piliocolobus tephrosceles (Ugandan red Colobus)
Lineage: Eukaryota; Metazoa; Chordata; Mammalia; Primates; Cercopithecidae
Gene: CLLU1-AS1
Product: CLLU1 antisense RNA 1
Exons: 4
Source: RefSeq, a predicted model, not a curated record